Molecule: ribosomal RNA, 301 nt
Filed under: uncultured bacterium
Lineage: Bacteria
Description: partial 16S ribosomal RNA
Rfam family: Bacterial small subunit ribosomal RNA
Source: RNAcentral
CAGCAGCCGCGGUAAUACGUAGGGUGCAAGCGUUAAUCGAAAUUACUGGGCGUAAAGCGUGCGCAGGCGGUUCUAUAAGACAGAUGUGAAAUCCCCGGGCUCAACCUGGGAACUGCAUUUGUGACUGUAGAGCUGGAGUGCGGCAGAGGGGGAUGGAAUUCCACGUGUAGCAGUGAAAUGCGUAGAUAUGUGGAGGAACACCGAUGGCGAAGGCAGCCCCCUGGGAUAACACUGACGCUGAGGCACGAAAGCGUGGGGAGCAAACAGGAUUAGAUACCCCCGUAGUCCCUGUCUCUUAUAC